GCCUGUGAUGUUUUGUGUUUGAGAAAUAAGAAAAUGCCUUCAACUACUCCAUUUGCCUGCACUCUCUCCUCCGAUGCAUUCUGUGGUCUUGUCAGAAGUGUCUUCCUAAAAAAACAGGCAGCAUAUGAUUCUGCUCUGCCACAAAAUCCUCAGCGUGGACGGCAGGAGGAAGGUCAUUCAAAUCCAGGUCCUUCCAGAGUUAACUGUCACGCAUAAAAAUUAACAACGGACUAAGCGGCCAAAAAGCAUAUAAAACACGUAAGGCAAUUAAACUAAGUUGACUAUACUACAUUUAUAUGAAAUGAUACCAAGGCA
Molecule: long non-coding RNA, 315 nt
Filed under: Fukomys damarensis (Damara mole-rat)
Lineage: Eukaryota; Metazoa; Chordata; Mammalia; Rodentia; Bathyergidae
Description: lncRNA (ENSFDAG00000026779.1)
Source: RNAcentral